UACGUAGGGUGCAAGCGUUAUCCGGAAUUAUUGGGCGUAAAGAGCUCGUAGGCGGUUUGUCGCGUCUGCCGUGAAAGUCCGGGGCUCAACUCCGGAUCUGCGGUGGGUACGGCAGACUGGAGUACUGCAGGGGGAGACUGGAAUUCCUGGUGUAGCGGUGGAAUGCGCAGAUAUCAGGAGGAACACCGGUGGCGAAGGCGGUUCUCUGGGCCUUACCUGACGCUGGAGGAGCGAAAGCGUGGGGAGCGAACAGG
Molecule: ribosomal RNA, 254 nt
Filed under: uncultured bacterium
Lineage: Bacteria
Description: partial 16S ribosomal RNA
Rfam family: Bacterial small subunit ribosomal RNA
Source: RNAcentral